GUGAACGCUGGCGGUAGGCCUAACACCUGCCAGUCGAACGGCAGCACAGUAAGAGCUUGCUCUUACGGGUGGCGAGUGGCGGACGGGUGAGGAAUACAUCGGAAUCUACUUUUUCGUGGGGAUAACGUAGGGAAACUUACGCUAAUACCGCAUACGACCUACGGGUGAAAGCAGGGGAUCUUCGGACCUUGCGCGAUUGAAUGAGCCGAUGUCGGAUUAGCUAGUUGGCGGGGUAAAGGCCCACCAAGGCGACGAUCCGUAGCUGGUCUGAGAGGAUGAUCAGCCACACUGGAACUGAGACACGGUCCAGACUCCUACGGGAGGCAGCAGUGGGGAAUAUUGGACAAUGGGCGUAAGCCUGAUCCAGCCAUACCGCGUGGGUGAAGAAGGCCUUCGGGUUGUAAAGCCCUUUUGUUGGGAAAGAAAAGCAGCAGGUUAAUACCCCGCUGUUCUGACGGUACCCAAAGAAUAAGCACCGGCUAACUUCGUG
Molecule: ribosomal RNA, 490 nt
Filed under: uncultured bacterium
Lineage: Bacteria
Description: partial 16S ribosomal RNA
Rfam family: Bacterial small subunit ribosomal RNA
Source: RNAcentral